RNAcentral lists this ribosomal RNA (1364 nucleotides) under uncultured bacterium. Its description in RNAcentral is "bacterial SSU rRNA". It matches the Rfam family "Bacterial small subunit ribosomal RNA", at positions 34 to 1391 of the family's 1533-position model. The record is from RNAcentral.
CGCUAGCGGCAGGCUAACACAUGCAAGUCGAGGGGUACAGAAGAAAGCUUGCUUUCUUGCUGACGACCGGCGAACGGGUGCGUAACGCGUAUGCAACCUACCUGUAACUGAGGGAUAGCCAGUGGAAACGCUGAUUAAUACCUCAUAAUAUAAGAGAUUCGCAUGUUUCCCUUAUUAAAGCUCCGGCGGUUACAGAUGGGCAUGCGUCCCAUUAGUUUGUUGGUGAGGUAACGGCUCACCAAGACUACGAUGGGUAGGGGGCCUGAGAGGGUGAUCCCCCACACUGGUACUGAGACACGGACCAGACUCCUACGGGAGGCAGCAGUGAGGAAUAUUGGUCAAUGGGCGAAAGCCUGAACCAGCCAUGCCGCGUGCAGGAUGACUGCCCUACGGGUUGUAAACUGCUUUUGUAUGGGAAUAAACCCCUGAACGUGUUCAGGGCUGAAGGUGCCAUACGAAUAAGCACCGGCUAACUCCGUGCCAGCAGCCGCGGUAAUACGGAGGGUGCAAGCGUUAUCCGGAUUCAUUGGGUUUAAAGGGUCCGUAGGCGGAACAUUAAGUCAGUGGUGAAAGCCUGUAGCUUAACUAUAGAAUUGCCAUUGAUACUGGUGUUCUUGAGUGUAGUUGAGGUGGGCGGAAUACAGCAUGUAGCGGUGAAAUGCUUAGAUAUGCUGUAGAACACCGAUUGCGAAGGCAGCUCACUAAACUACUACUGACGCUGAGGGACGAAAGCGUGGGGAGCGAACAGGAUUAGAUACCCUGGUAGUCCACGCUGUAAACGAUGAUCACUAGUUGUCGGCGAUAUACUGUCGGUGGCUAAGCGAAAGUGAUAAGUGAUCCACCUGGGGAGUACGAUCGCAAGGUUGAAACUCAAAGGAAUAGACGGGGAUCCGCACAAGCGGUGGAGCAUGUGGUUUAAUUCGAAGAUACGCGAAGAACCUUACCUAGACUUGAAAUCCUUGGAAUCCUGCAGAGAUGCGGGAGUGCUUGUUUACAAGAGCUAAGUGACAGGUGCUGCACGGCUGUCGUCAGCUCGUGUCGUGAGAUGUUGGGUUAAGUCCCGCAACGAGCGCAACCCUCGUGUUUAGUUGCUAACAGUUCGGCUGAGCACUCUAAACAGACUGCCUUCGUAAGGAGGAGGAAGGUGAGGACGACGUCAAGUCAUCAUGGCCCUUAUGUCUAGGGCUACACACGUGCUACAAUGGUUGGGACAAAGAGCAGCAAUACCGCGAGGUGGAGCAAAUCUUAAAACCCAAUCUCAGUUCGGAUUGGAGUCUGCAACUCGACUCCAUGAAGCUGGAAUCGCUAGUAAUCGUAGAUCAGCAAUGCUACGGUGAAUACGUUCCCGGGUCGUUGUACUCACC